GGCAGUGGUAGCUCAGUGGUUAAGACCUUGGGCUACUGACUGAAAGGUGGUUAAGUUCAAAUCUCAGCACUGCCA
Molecule: non-coding RNA, 75 nt
Organism: Pangasius djambal
Lineage: Eukaryota; Metazoa; Chordata; Actinopteri; Siluriformes; Pangasiidae
Source: the annotation of a GenBank genome assembly